RNAcentral lists this ribosomal RNA (433 nucleotides) under uncultured bacterium. RNAcentral describes it as "partial 16S ribosomal RNA". It matches the Rfam family "Bacterial small subunit ribosomal RNA", at positions 29 to 507 of the family's 1533-position model. The record is from RNAcentral.
AACGAACGCUGGCGGCAGGCCUAACACAUGCAAGUCGAGCGGACCUUUCGGGGUCAGCGGCGGACGGGUGAGUAACGCGUGGGAAUAUGCCCUUCUCUACGGAAUAGUCCUGGGAAACUGGGGGUAAUACCGUAUACGCCCUUUGGGGGAAAGAUUUAUCGGGGAAGGAUUAGCCCGCGUUGGAUUAGGUAGUUGGUGGGGUAAUGGCCUACCAAGCCGACGAUCCAUAGCUGGUUUGAGAGGAUGAUCAGCCACACUGGGACUGAGACACGGCCCAGACUCCUACGGGAGGCAGCAGUGGGGAAUCUUAGACAAUGGGGGCAACCCUGAUCUAGCCAUGCCGCGUGAGUGAUGAAGGCCUUAGGGUUGUAAAGCUCUUUCAGCUGGGAAGGUAAUGACGGUACCAGCAGAAGAAGCCCCGGCUAACUCCGUG